UACAGAGGGGGCAAGCGUUGUUCGGAAUCACUGGGCGUAAAGCGCACGUAGGCGGAUCUUUAAGUCAGGGGUGAAAUCCUGGAGCUCAACUCCAGAACUGCCUUUGAUACUGGGGAUCUCGAGUCCGGAAGAGGUGAGUGGAACUCCGAGUGUAGAGGUGAAAUUCGUAGAUAUUCGGAAGAACACCAGUGGCGAAGGCGGCUCACUGGUCCGGUACUGACGCUGAGGUGCGAAAGCGUGGGGAGCAAACAGG
RNAcentral lists this ribosomal RNA (253 nucleotides) under uncultured bacterium. RNAcentral describes it as "partial 16S ribosomal RNA". It matches the Rfam family "Bacterial small subunit ribosomal RNA", at positions 524 to 776 of the family's 1533-position model. The record is from RNAcentral.